Puntigrus tetrazona (Sumatra barb) is the source of this 3083-nucleotide RNA transcript. It is a transcript of the gene named chemokine-like protein TAFA-1, with no coding region annotated. The record is from RefSeq and is a predicted model, not a curated record. NCBI's taxonomy places the organism in Eukaryota, Metazoa, Chordata, Actinopteri, Cypriniformes, Cyprinidae. The transcript is spliced from 6 exons.
CACACCAAUCAGUACACUGGGAAGAGGAGAGACUCGUACUGAGUGGCUUCUCAAUGGGAGAGAAGAGCUGAGAGGAGAGAGGGACGGCGAGAGCGAGAGCGAGCGCACGCGAAAGAGAGAGAGAGAGAGAGAGAGAGAAGUGCCGUCGCAUGUGCAAGACCAAAAAGUGAAGAGGCAAAUUAGCUUGUUAUCCCCCAAAGAAGCUUCACCUUCAGAGAGAAGCGUGAGGAGGCUGAGAAACAGGACGAAGACGUUGCUUCUCUGGUGAUUUAAAGGUGACAUGACAAGCCUCUCGUCCCUCAAAUCCCAGCUAGUUUCUGACAGCGUUUCACAGCUGUGACGGGAGUUUCUGUUGUCGGGUGCCUGACUGUGUUCCGUGGAUUGCAGCCAGGAGGACUUACAACAGAAGAGGGGAUCAAGGGAAGGAGCGGGAACAAAAGUCUCCUCAUCCCCCCUCUGACCCGCAGAUCCGAGCAGGAACUUUUGCUGGGAAGCUCUUUCCCGAGAGCAUGGAUGGAUUUAUGACUAUGUGCUAAGGAUAUCGGAUGAACAGCUGACGGCACGUUUCUUUAACGUUCUCCUCACGGUAUCUCACAGCCGGUGCUCCUGCCAUGUCCUGGCUCCUGUGUCUGUGGAUAAGUGUUAGCUGCUUACUGCUGUGCCACGCCACUUUGUACGAGACCAUCCAACAGCAUCAUGUGACCCGCCCGGGCCGCAACGCCAUACAGAUACUGGAGGGAGGAACAUGUGAGGUCAUCGCAGCACACCGAUGUUGCAACAAGAACCGCAUUGAGGAACGUUCCCAGACCGUCAAGUGCUCGUGUUUACCGGGAAAAGUGGCCGGAACAACACGGAACAAACCCUCCUGUGUAGACGCCUCCAUCGUGAUUGGGAAGUGGUGGUGUGAGAUGGAGCCGUGUCUGGAGGGAGAGGAGUGUAAGACACUACCAGACAACUCCGGCUGGAUGUGUUCCUCUGGGAACAAGAUCAAGACCACGAGGAACACCCAGCCAUAUUCAACUUUUUAGCUCUGAGGGCCACCGAAGCUGGCUCACCAGAAGCUCUGCGGCGUCCUUCUCCUCAUCAAGAUUCAUCCCCGGACCUAACAAAGAGCUCCUUCACAGGCAGUGAAUGUGGAUGCUUUCUGUCAGAAUGGACGAAACCAUUCAUUCAAAGGGGUGUUUGACUGGAUUACCUGUGAAUGAACAAUAAAAGAGGACAUUCUUGGGGAUGAAGACCUGAUUUGCUCAUUCGGUGCCAAGGAAUAUGACAAACAGAAAUAAAGCAGGCUAAUCUGUGUUUUUGAUCAAUGAGCCCAAUACUGCGGACUCGACCGUGUCCAAUUCUUUCAAUUUUCUGCGUUUCUCCUCACCACCUUCCUCUGGUUCUAAACUCAUACAGCUUAGGGGAGUCGUUUACUGGAUUUCAAAUUAUAUUUGAAGACUUGAUGUCCCUAGGUAAACUGGACAAUCCUGAUAUAAGCUGUGAAUGACUGUAUGAAGGAUCAUGACGGAUAAGCACUGGUCUGUGAAAAUGAGGUGGAAAUCGAUAGGAGAUUUUUCCAUCCUGCCAUCAGUUUGUCGUUCUGUGUCCACGCUGGCUUUGGUAACAGACUAGGAGCUCAUGAAGCCCUGCUAUUUCCCUCCACUUCUGAAUCUACCGCUCACCGCUAGUGUCCACAUGCUAUCCAUUUGGGAGUAUCCCUAGAUCAAAGGUCACCUCACUGUCUACACCUACUUGGACCAGAUAUCUUUUUAUUUGUCGGCAUGCUCAAUGUAUUUUGUGGGAGCUUUGUAUUGAAAGUAACUGUAUAUAUUUCUGUACAUAUACAUAUAGAUACAUAUUAAAAGACAUCAUAUGACGAUCUAUCAUGCCCUAAACCUGUUCAGUGGGUUUGAAUUAAGACAUGGUUUUGUUCUCUUGAAUUAAUCGCUGAUUUACAGCUAUCUGUGGAAAUACAUAUUCUCUUGAUGUAAUGGAAAUCUAGCGUUUUUUGCUUGAUAGAGAAUUUGUUCCUUUGCAUCCAUGAUGACAAAAAAAACGGAGGAAAAUUCACUAAACAGUUGCAAAACAAUAUUUCAGCACCAACGUCUUUAGCACUUAAAAAGCCCAGAGCUGUAAGUAUUUAUUGCCAUUUGUUGUUUUUUUUUUGUGCAAACAAACAAGUCUUCAUACAGAUAGACUUAUAAUAGAUUGUGGAUUAUUCACAAAACUCUACUGCUACUUUAGUGCUACCACCGCUGGCAGAAAUCAGAUGGAAAAUACCUUAAUGUACGUUACUGAACGAUCGAAGCAAUAGUACUUCGACAGGUAAUGAGCAAAUAAUGGAGAAGAGCAGAUGUGCGGAGUAGUCGACCCCAUUUGGUGCUGUAUGUUCCCAUUAAAGUAUGUCAAAUUAUAUUUGUGUAUAACGAACAUAGUGCGUUGAAGCAACCAUCAAAUUGGGAAUUGUGCCACGCAGAUUUUCAGUUGCUUUUUUGUAUAGUUGCACAAUUCUGAAUCGAACACUUAACCACAGCAAACAAUGUAAUUAAUUGCCUCUGUCAGUGGGUGCAACUCAUCCUUAGUGAAUUUCCCAAAGAUAUCAGUCUGUCGGCCCAAUAAAAGAGGCCACAGUCACCUGCUGGAACUCAGAUUACAUUUAUAUAUACAGGUCUAACACCUGUCCAUGAUCCAGUUUGUUCUAUGCUGUUCUGAGAAUAGGUAGGCUUCAUUAUGCUUGUGUAGGUUUCAUAAAUACAAUAGAAAACAUUCACUUUGUUAAAGGUGAUAAUGAUGAUAACAAAACACUGAAUCUGUGUCACUGGACAGAAACCUGAAUCGGUUUGGAAAAAUGAAGCCCUAUAUCGGUAGGGUCAGUGAAGUAGGGAUCAUUUGUUUUUAACAAUUACCAUACCUCCACAUGAAUCAUCCGGGAGAUGGCCAUUCAAAAUGUCGCUUUUUAGUUAAUCCGGUUUCAAGGGUUGGCAAAAAAAAGGUGGGCUUCAUUUCUCUUUACUGGCAUUAGCAACUACAGUAGCUUUGGUAGAUAAACAUGCAGCCUUAUUAGUAGCAAAUCGAUAUUAAAAAUGGUUUUCUAUAAA